GCUAACCUAGCUUAACUAAAGCAUAACACUGAAAAUGUUAAGAUGGGCCUUAAAAAGCCCCGAAAGCA
RNAcentral lists this transfer RNA (68 nucleotides) under Citharoides macrolepidotus (large-scale flounder). Its description in RNAcentral is "tRNA-Phe". It matches the Rfam family "tRNA". From Rfam's summary of the family: Transfer RNA (tRNA) molecules are approximately 80 nucleotides in length. Their secondary structure includes four short double-helical elements and three loops (D, anti-codon, and T loops). Further hydrogen bonds mediate the characteristic L-shaped molecular structure. tRNAs have two regions of fundamental functional importance: the anti-codon, which is responsible for specific mRNA codon recognition, and the 3' end, to which the tRNAs corresponding amino acid is attached (by aminoacyl-tRNA synthetases). tRNAs cope with the degeneracy of the genetic code in two manners: having more than one tRNA (with a specific anti-codon) for a particular amino acid; and 'wobble' base-pairing, i.e. permitting non-standard base-pairing at the 3rd anti-codon position. Lineage: Eukaryota; Metazoa; Chordata; Actinopteri; Pleuronectiformes; Citharidae. The record is from RNAcentral.